AAGUCGUAACAAGGUUUCCGUAGGUGAACCUGCGGAAGGAUCAUUAAAGAAUUAGGCUUCGCGGCCAAGUUCUCACCCUUUGUAUACCGAAACCAUGUUGCUUUGGCAGGCCCCUGUCAUUUCGCUCCGGGCCUGGCCAUGAGGUUAACUAACCUAAGAAUCUCUGCUGUCUGAGUACUAUACAAUAGUUAAAA
This 194-nucleotide unclassified non-coding RNA is filed under the name plant metagenome. Its description in RNAcentral is "partial contains small subunit ribosomal RNA and internal transcribed spacer 1". The stretch from base 1 to 46 matches the Rfam family "Eukaryotic small subunit ribosomal RNA", at positions 1786 to 1831 of the family's 1831-position model. The record is from RNAcentral.